CACCUCUAAAAAUGGUGCAGAAUAAGGGGUGGGCAAGUCUGGUGUCAGCCGCCGCGGUAAUACCAGCACCCCGAGUGGUCGGGACGAUUAUUGGGCCUAAAGCAUCCGUAGCCGGUUCUGCAAGUCCUCCGUUAAAUCCAGCCGCUCAACGGAUGGGCCGCGGAGGAUACUAUAGGACUAGGAGGCGGGAGAGGCAAGCGGUACUCAGUGGGUAGGGGUAAAAUCCUUUGAUCCAUUGAAGACCACCAGUGGCGAAGGCGGCUUGCCAGAACGCGCUCGACGGUGAGGGAUGAAAGCUGGGGGAGCAAACCGGAUUAGAUACCCGGGUAGUCCCAGCUGUAAACGAUGCAGACUCGGUGAUGGGCUAGCCUUGUGCCAGCCCAGUGCCGCAGGGAAGCCGUUAAGUCUGCCGCCUGGGGAGUACGGUCGCAAGACCGAAACUUAAAG
This 447-nucleotide ribosomal RNA is filed under the name uncultured archaeon. RNAcentral describes it as "bacterial SSU rRNA". It matches the Rfam family "Archaeal small subunit ribosomal RNA", at positions 414 to 861 of the family's 1478-position model. The record is from RNAcentral.